UCAGAGUUAACUCACAUUUGUUAGGGGGGUUAUUCCUUCACCCACUUACUUCCCUGGUCCUCCUCGCAUGAACAGAGCAACAAUACCUGGAGUCCAAAAGUGCAAACAAUUCAAUGUUUAUUGGGGUAAACUUCCAGCAAGCAUGAUUCCAGUUUCCUUCCUUAGUGUCCUCCUUCCCAGCUCUGACACCACAGAGCCUUACCUGUGUCCCUGUUCCCA
Molecule: long non-coding RNA, 219 nt
Organism: Chelonia mydas (Green sea turtle)
Lineage: Eukaryota; Metazoa; Chordata; Testudines; Cheloniidae
Exons: 3
Source: RefSeq, a predicted model, not a curated record